Molecule: ribosomal RNA, 274 nt
Filed under: uncultured bacterium
Lineage: Bacteria
Description: partial 16S ribosomal RNA
Rfam family: Bacterial small subunit ribosomal RNA
Source: RNAcentral
AUACGGAGAGGACUAGCGUUGUUCGGAAUUACUGGGCGUAAAGAGUUCGUAGGCGGAUAAGCAAGUAAGAGGUGAAAGCCCAGGGCUCAACCUUGGAACUGCCUUUUAAACUGCUUAUCUAGAGACCGAUAGAGGUUAGGGGAAUACCUAGUGUAGAGGUGAAAUUCGUAGAUAUUAGGUGGAACACCAGUGGCGAAGGCGCCUAACUCGAUCGGUACUGACGCUGAGGAACGAAAGCGUGGGGAGCAAACAGGAUUAGAAACCCUAGUAGUCC